Molecule: ribosomal RNA, 441 nt
Filed under: uncultured bacterium
Lineage: Bacteria
Description: bacterial SSU rRNA
Rfam family: Bacterial small subunit ribosomal RNA
Source: RNAcentral
AACGCGAAGAACCUUACCUGGGCUCGAACGGCUUAAGAACAUGCUUGGAAACAGGCACUUCCCGCAAGGGACUUGAGUCGAGGUGCUGCAUGGCUGUCGUCAGCUCGUGUCGUGAGAUGUCGGGUUAAGUCCCUUAACGAGCGCAACCCUUAUCCCUAGUUGCCAUCAUUCAGUUGGGCACUCUACGGAGACUGCCGGUGUUAAACCGGAGGAAGGUGGGGAUGACGUCAAGUCCUCAUGGCCUUUAUAUCCAGGGCUACACACGUGCUACAAUGGCCGGUACAAAGAGUUGCCAACCUGCAAAGGGGAGCUAAUCUCAGAAAGCCGGUCUCAGUUCGGAUUGAAGUCUGCAAUUCGACUUCAUGAAGCUGGAAUCGCUAGUAAUCGCGGAUCAGAACGCCGCGGUGAAUACGUUCCCGGGCCUUGUACACACCGGUACUA